CAAUUGAAAAAAUAAAACUACUACUACUAUUAGUUAUCAAUUAACAUUCCCGCCAAAAAGUUCACAAUUGAAUAUUGACUGAAUAAGACUAACAAAUGGUAUUUUAUUAUGAUAUCGUACUGUGUUUAUUACUUUUCUCAUUUAUUUACUGUUAGAUCAUUUCGUUCAAUUUUAAAAUUAAUCUGUGUGUAAUUAGUACCUACAUUUCAGAUUUAUCAUGAACAAUGCUCGUGUUGCUUAUCUUUGGGAUGAGAAAUUAGUGAAGGAAUGUAUUAGGCUACCAGCAGUAUUCGGCAGGGCUCGACUCGUGCACAAUUUAAUCGAAGCAUAUGGUCUGAUUAGUAAAUUGAAAGUAAUCCGUUCAUCUCCAGCAAGUUAUGAAGAUUUAAACGUUUUUCAUUCAGACUUAUAUUUAGAACAUUUAAAACAAAUAACAGACAUUGAUGAUGAUUACAUUUCUAAUGCUCAAGAUGAAAAUUUUGGGAUAGGAUAUGAUUGUCCCCCUGUCCCUAAUAUGUUCGAGCUGGUGUCAACCAUUGCUGGAGGUUCAGUGACGGCUGCUAAGUGUUUGACGAUGGGUAUUGCUGAUAUAGCCAUUAAUUGGUGUGGGGGCUGGCAUCAUGCACAUAAUAAUCGUGCAGAGGGUUUCUGUUACGUAAACGACAUUGUAAUAGCAAUAGAAAAAUUGAAAGGAAAAUUCAAAAAUAUUUUAUACGUUGAUUUAGAUGUGCAUCAUGGCAAUGGUGUUCAAGAUGCUUAUUGGACGACUCGGUCAGUAUACACAUUGUCUUUUCACAAGUUCGAACCAGGUUUCUAUCCAGGUACAGGGAGUAUAGAAGACAUUGGUUGCGGUGACGGUGAAGGAUAUUCAUGUAACUUCCCACUUAAUGAAGCUUAUUCCGAUAAUACAAUUCAAUUUGUUUUUGAAAAGGUAUUCAAUUCUGUUUAUUCGAAUUUUGCUCCUGACGCAAUCGUAGUACAAUGCGGGGCUGACGCAUUGUCUCAUGAUCCGCACGGCGGUGCUUGUUUGACUAGUCGCGGUUAUUGCGCCUGCAUAAGCACUGUUCUCGAUAAACAAAAACCUACAAUGCUACUCGGAGGGGGAGGAUACAACCACUCAAAUACUGCUCGUCUGUGGACAACCUUGACAGCUUUCGUUACUGGUGUAGAAUUAGAUGAGAUAAUUCCUGAACACAAUGAGUGGCCUGAGUAUGGACCAGAUUACAUGCUUCCUGUUCAAGGCACCCUUAUUAAGGAUACAAACAAGAAAUCUUAUCUUGAAGACUGUAUAAAUAAAAUAAAUGGUAAUAAUAAAAAAAAACAUAAGUUAUAAUAACCAACUUAUAUAACACCAUUAAGACAAGACAGCCAAGCAGCUGGUGUUUGGUAGUCCCCACGGCCUCUGGACGAACUAUGGAAGUUGUACAUCAAAACUGUACAAUAUAACUGAGAUAAUAUGAAAAACGAACGAAUUAAAUAAAUGUCAAUAUAAAAACCAAUCAAGAAAACUUGAAAAAACACUUAGCCAAAACGGAAAAACUUGAACCUGAAUCAAAAAUAUAUAAAACAGGUGGAGAAUUGGUAAAAAGUGAUUAUAAAAUAAACAAGAGCUAUAUUCCUAAA
This is an RNA transcript of Bombyx mori (domestic silkworm), 1623 nucleotides long. It is a transcript of the gene named histone deacetylase 8, with no coding region annotated. The transcript has 9 exons. The record is from RefSeq and is a predicted model, not a curated record. NCBI's taxonomy places the organism in Eukaryota, Metazoa, Arthropoda, Insecta, Lepidoptera, Bombycidae.